GGGGGUGUGGUGUAGCGGCUCUGCACAUCUGGCUUUGACCCAGAAGGUGAACGUUCGACACGUUCCGCCUCCGCCA
Molecule: transfer RNA, 76 nt
Filed under: Acidobacteriota bacterium
Lineage: Bacteria; Pseudomonadati; Acidobacteriota
Description: Acidobacteria bacterium tRNA-Gln
Rfam family: tRNA
About the family: Transfer RNA (tRNA) molecules are approximately 80 nucleotides in length. Their secondary structure includes four short double-helical elements and three loops (D, anti-codon, and T loops).
Source: RNAcentral